CAAUAGCGUAUAUUAAAGUUGUUGCAGUUAAAAAGCUCGUAGUUGAACUUCAGACCUGGCCGGGCGGUCUGCCUAACGGUAUGUACUGUCUGGCUGGGUCUUACCUCUUGGUGAGCCGGCAUGCCCUUCACUGGGUGUGUCGGGGAACCAGGACUUUUACCUUGAGAAAAUUAGAGUGUUCAAAGCAGGCCUAUGCCCGAAUACAUUAGCAUGGAAUAAUAAAAUAGGACGUGCGGUUCUAUUUUGUUGGUUUCUAGAGUCGCCGUAAUGAUUAAUAGGGAUAGUUGGGGGCAUUAGUAUUCAGUUGCUAGAGGUGAAAUUCUUGGAUUUACUGAAGACUAACUACUGCGAAAGCAUUUGCCAAGGAUGUUUNCAUUA
RNAcentral lists this ribosomal RNA (378 nucleotides) under uncultured eukaryote. RNAcentral's name for it is "partial 18S ribosomal RNA". It matches the Rfam family "Eukaryotic small subunit ribosomal RNA", at positions 592 to 975 of the family's 1831-position model. The record is from RNAcentral.